AUGGACAGCUGGACUCUACAGGGGGACAGCUACUCCUUCCUGCGAAGUGCACCCCGCAACACAUUUUCCCUGUGCCAUCGGGACGGCACCCCCAACCAGGUUGAAAUCUUCGACAUCAUAAACGUACCAAGUCAGCGCAGUGUCAUCUCCGAGACCACCAGCCUUUGUGACAUUUUUGGAGACGACUGUGAGUCACCGUCUGUCUCCAGUAGCCCUGCUGCCGGGACUUUUGUUCUUCCGCGUAGGGAGGUGGACGGGUCAGCUGCUGCCUCUUCUCUGGCGGAUGAUCUGAACGACUCGUCGGGCUCUUACCACACUGCUCCGGGGUCCAGUGAAGGCGAGGAGGGAUUUGAAGAUUCUAGAGAAAGGGUUUGCAGUCCCCUGUUGCAGUGCGAUUCUUCAGAAAGGAGGCAGCUGGCGGGUGAGGGACUGACCUCAGGGCUUACAGAAGUUUCCGACGAUAGAAGCCCAAAUUUAGAACCAGAAAGUAAAUCACCCGCACCUCAAUUUAGUACAGCAAGCCCAUCGUCAUCAGUCCUCAACACUGGUGAGAGCACACCCUCUCCUGGACAUAAUAGCCCCUUUACCCUCAGUAUAGAGGGAAGCUUGUCAUCCUUGUCUUCUUCCCCAGUUGAAAAAACACCAUCAUCACCUAGUCCUAGAAAAACCUACCCAGAAACGGAUGCAAGAAGAACCACUCCCACUUUCAUUGAUAGAUCUCCGUCUCUAACUCCAAGCCCCUCACCUGAGCCUGGGAACUGUGUCACCUCAUCUUCCUGUGAAUCAGUGAACACCCAGUUGUUACCUGAGUUGGGUGUCGCACAGGCUUACCCUGUGCCCGGGAGCAGCUGCUUUAAUCAACACAGCAGUCCCUCACCCGAGCCCACAUCCAAAGAGCUUUCUCUGGAUUCUACAGAAUCCACGUUUGAUUCUGCAGCCACACUUCUAUCUCCUUCACCCUCAGCCAGUAUUACAGAGUUAUCAUCCCAGUCGAGAGAGACACUGGCCUCACCUCAGUUGAAAGACAAGCCUUCCUCCUGGGAUUCGCAAGCGUCCUCUCCUUUUUCUGAGCUAAGAGGGAGGGUGUUCCUGCUUGAUCUCCUCAGCAGAGGCUCAACACCUGAUAACGGAGAUUUUACCCACAUCCCUGAGCAGAUUUUAGAUUCUUCCACUGCAAGAGGACACAAUACAACCACUCCUGAGAGACAAGAUACAAGACUCAGUGCUGUAUGUACACAACCUUCACCUGUUUCAUCACCAGCAGCAUCUCCUCAGCUUGUGCAUAGCAUCUCACCUGAAUUGAUACACACAGUUCCCUCACCUGGCCAACCCUGUGACGCUUCUUCUGAUAAAACUUGGACAAGGACUCCGCCUCCCGACGCCUCGCAUAAAAUUAGACACAUUUUAACACCUCCUGACAGCAGGACCCAGGUGUUGUCACCUGUGUUCAGUUAUAGCUUAUCUCCAUCGCCUGACAUUACGAGCAGUUACUCUCCCACAGAGCAAGAACAUACAGCUCCCUCACCUGAAAUUAGGAUUACAGCUUCUUCCCCUGAGGUCAGUGAAAGAGAGUUGUCUUCUGAAGUGGAAACAACUCCUGCAUCUCCUUUCCUAGAUCUUCACUCUGACUGUUCCUCAUCAAGAAGCCUCACUUCGUCCCCUCACAUCACAGGGAUUUCUUACUCUGUUGUUCAACCCGAGGACAGGGACACUCCCUCAUUUCCCGAGCUUUCUUGUCUCUCCACCCGUCAACCUGAUAGGACACUUGUUUCCCCUGAAGCAAGGAGCCCUACCCCCCACGGAGACAGUAAACAUAGCAGUAUAGCAGAGUCCACCUGUUCACCAAGAGAUUCACCUUGUAUAUCAGGAGUCACAAGCUCUGACCUGCAGCCAGAAGUAACUGUGUUGCAUCAAGCCAGCUAUCAAACACCUUCACCUCGGCCAGAGCGUCACACUCCCUCGACUGAGCCAAGAUAUCAAACCCCUUCAUCUGACAAGAAUCAAAGUCCCUCGCCUCAGCAAAGGAGUAGAGGUCCAUCACCUGCCUCAUGCCCUGAACAGAGGUAUCAUUGGAAUUCACAACCGACCGUCUCCACUGAGUACAACCGUCAUUGUACCCGGCCUACUCCUCCUCUAAGAAAUACACCCGAGGUUGAGGAGGAUUCCGCUUCAGUUGAUAUUACAGAAAAACAAUACCCAACACAUUUGGCCAAAGAGAGUGUGUCACCCUCAUUUAAACAACAAAACAAAGAGAGGGAAGCAGGACAAAAGGAGGCAACCCUUCAGGAUAAUUCAAGUCUCCCAGAGGAAAAACAACCUAUUACCCCGAAUUUUGGACAGAACGAAGACACUUUUAAAAAUCUACCCAUUGAAAUAAAUACUCCUUCUCGUAAUAGUCUAAUCUUCGAAGACAGGAGUCCAGGUAUCUCACCUGUCCACAGGUCUACAGCAACCUCGCCUGUGCAGAAAAAAGAAACCUCAAUUCAGCCUGAAUUCUCUACGUAUCCGCAAACUUAUGAGAGCAGCGGCUUAUUAAAAUCAGCCUGUACACCUGAGCCUGCCAGAAGACAGCUGUCAGCCAAAAUUAGAGGUGAAACCAGGAACAGGACAACAGAGGACAUGGCCCAGCAUGUAAACAGAAGGCGGACUCCCUCUCCGCCACUCACCAGGUUUACACCUGUCCACAUCAUAGCCCCUGAGAAACCAUACAGACAGUGGCAGAACAGAAGCCGUAGCCCCUCCCAGGUUGUAGCAUCCUCACCCAAUUGUAAUUUGAGGAAAGUGCAGACAAAUAGGGAAUGCCCCGAUGUUGCCUAUGUUGACAAUAAUAGCCAGGCCCAUUGGGUCAGGCAAGGAAGGCAAUUGGAGAUGAAAAGGGAAAUGCAGCUAGAGGACGAAAGGGAGGUAGGUAGGCAGAGGAAAAUUGAUAGGGAGCCAGAGAGCCAGAGAAAGAAGAGGGAGGAGCAGGUUCCUGAAAAGGGGAAGGGUGGGCAGUGGGACGCCAGUUACAGAGGGGAACAGGCUGAACUGUCAUUCAACGCCAAGAAUAGAAAAGGGCCUGCAAGUCGCAGCACAGCUCCCACAAGCAAGGAGACCCGUCAGGGACGGCCAACAGCGCAUUCCUACUCGGAAAGCUUGCUUACCACCAGGCAGAUACAGCAACAACAGAGUCUGCUUCGACUUGCUUCCCAACAAGACAGCAGGGGUGGUGCACCCAGCAGACGCCGUCAACCUCCUGCACCACACAACAAGAGCAGUCUUCCUGGACGCGUGGCCGCACACAGGUCCUGCCGGAGUUCCAGCUCCAGCAUGGGAAGUGAGCUUGAUGAGGCAGACGAUGAGGUGAAAUGGUUCACAGACUUGGCUUUCAACAGCCUCUCAAGCCCUGAGGUAGAUUACCUUGACAUGUACAACUCCAGCCACCGUUCAUCUACCAACAUUUCUCAACCAUCUACACAGGAGAGUCCCGCUGGGGUCAGCACAGCCUGGCCGGCCUAUGCUGACUUCAGGGGUUCUGCUCCUAGGCUGGACAAUGAUGAACUCUCAUUCCAGCAACCACCUGCAUACUACUCAGACGGCCUAGAUCCGUCAAGGCGCUACGAGAUGGGCAGCUUUGAGUGUGUGGAUGUUGCCGUGGAAAGAGAGGACUUCAGAAGGGUGAGAAGAGGAGUGCCGAAAAGACAGAUCCAGCUGAAGAAAAAGAGUGACGCUGAAGGGAAGCAGGAUGAGAGCAGUGAAAAUAGUAGUCCUGGGUUACCAGUGAUGGGGGAGAGCCCCUCUCUAGAGACUCCUUCCAGGGAGAAGCUCAUGAGACAACACAGUACACCAGCAGCAAUGCCAGAAUGCUACGCCUCUGAACGGAACCUUGAGCAGCAUCAACAAAAUAAAAGAAAAUCCAAACUCCAGAAAUCUGCUUCUCUUGAUGAAACAUGCACUAAGACCAAGAUGGCCACUUGUCUUAUCAAGAGUGUGUUAUCCAAGAAGAUGCAGAUUUUUGAAAAACAACCUGAUGAGCAGGUAGGAGAAGAGGGGAGCCCGGCUUUUGAGGAAAACAGACAACCAACAGAGAGCACACAGGUACUCCUCAAAGAGUCCCCACUACCUGACCAACAUGAUCUUAGUUCCAGUCUUCAGUCAGAUCACAGUCUUUUAUCUGAGGGUGUCACUGAGAGAGAAAAGAAAAUCACAAAGGAUAAUUUGAACCCAGCCAAAAGCUUUGGAGCAAGAUCCAGUAAUAGGCCAAGUUCAUCCAGCAGCAGCCGAAGUGUUAACUUUUCAUUGACCGAGAGUGAGGAGGUUGAUUCUCAAAGCACAAAUGCGGCCUCACUAAGAUCUGAAAGGAGAGCAGAACUGAAAGUGCCAUUUGAUAGUAAACAGUCAAGAACUGGAGUACAACAAGCUGAUGAGAGCGAGACAUGGGACAGAGGGGAGGGUGGUGACUCAGCAAAUGCCACCGCCAGGAACUCAGGAGCUCCUCCUGCCACAGGAGCCAGCAGCAUGCAGGCCAGGGGGACAAGCAGAGACCCAGAACGUAAAAACACGGAGGACUAUAAACAACUGGAACAGGAUGCCAGGGGCGCUUACACGUCACAAACACAGGACAUUACUGUCAGAGCUGUGGAGAAAAAAGAAAGCCUCCUUAAAUGUCUGUCUCACACCUGA
This is a long non-coding RNA of Gasterosteus aculeatus (three-spined stickleback), 4662 nucleotides long. The record is from Ensembl. Lineage: Eukaryota; Metazoa; Chordata; Actinopteri; Perciformes; Gasterosteidae.